Molecule: ribosomal RNA, 397 nt
Filed under: uncultured bacterium
Lineage: Bacteria
Description: partial 16S ribosomal RNA
Rfam family: Bacterial small subunit ribosomal RNA
Source: RNAcentral
AUACGUAGGUGGCAAGCGUUGUCCGGAAUUAUUGGGCGUAAAGCGCGCGCAGGUGGUUUCUUAAGUCUGAUGUGAAAGCCCACGGCUCAACCGUGGAGGGUCAUUGGAAACUGGGAGACUUGAGUGCAGAAGAGGAUAGUGGAAUUCCAAGUGUAGCGGUGAAAUGCGUAGAGAUUUGGGGGAACACCAGUGGCGAAGGCGCCUAUCUGGUCUGUUACUGACACUGAGGCGCGAAAGCGUGGGGUGCAAACAGGAUUAGAUACCCUGGUAGGCCGCGCCGUAAACGAUGAGUGCUAAGUGUUAGGGGGUUUCCGCCCCUUAGUGCUGCAGCUAACGCAUGAAGCACUCCGCCUGGGGAGUACGGUCGCAAGACUGAAACUUAAAUGAAUUGACGGGG